GGUCGAUUUUGGCUCAGAUUGAACGCUGGCGGGAUGCUUUACACAUGCAAGUCGAACGGGCAGCACGACUGGUCUGGUGGCGAGUGGCGAACGGGUGAGUAAUGUAUCGGAACGUGCCUAGUAGCGGGGAUAACUACGCGAAAGCGUAGCUAAUACCGCAUACGCCUUCGGGGGAAAGCGGGGGACCCUUCGGGCCUCUGCACUAUUAGACGGGCCGAUAUCGGAUUAGCUAGUUGCGGGUAACGGCUCAUCAAGGCGACGAUCCGUAGCUGGUUUGAGAGGACGACCAGCCACACUGGGACCGAGAUACGCGCCCAGACUCCUACGGAGCGGUGGGGAAUUUUGGACAAUGGGGAAACCCUUAUCCGUUAUCCCGCGUGUGCGAUGAAGGGCCCUUCGCUGUAAAGCACUUUUGGCAGGAAGAAACGGCACGAGACCACCGUGCAACUGAUUGCGGCCUGCAGAAUAAGCACCGGCGCAACUACGUGCCAGCAGCCGCGGUAAUACGUAGGGUGCAAGCGUUAAUCGGAAUUACUGGGCGUAAGCGUGCGCAGGCGGUUUCAAAAGAAAGAUGUGAAAUCCCAGAGCUUAACUUUGGAACUGCAUUUUUAACUACCGAGCUAGAGUGUGUCAGAGGAGGUGGAAUUCCCGCGUAAAGGCGGAAUGCGUAGAUAUGCGGAGGAACACCGAUGGCGAAGGCAAAUUUCGGACAACACUGACGCUCAUGCACGAAAGCGUGGGAGCAAACAGGAUUAGAUACCCCUGGUAGUCCACGCUCAAACGAUGUUUAACUAGCUGUUGGGGCCUUCGGCCUUGUAGCGCAGCUAACGCGUGAAGUUGACCGCCUGGGGAGUACGGUCGCAAGAUUAAAACUCAAAGGAAUUGACGGGGACUCCGCACAAGCGGUGGAUGAUGUGGAUUAGUCUGAUGCAACGCGAAAACCUUACCUACCCUUGACAUGUCUGGAAUCCCGAAGAGAUUUGGGAGUGCUCGCAAGAGAACCGGAACACAGGUGCUGCAUGGCUGUCGUCAGCUCGUGUCGUGAGAUGUUGGGUUAAGUCCCGCAACGAGCGCAAACUUGUCAUUAGUUAAGCGCCAGAAAGGGCACCGGGAGGAGACUGCCGGUGACAAACCGGGGGCGUGUGGGAUGACGUCGGUCUCAUGGCCCCGCGGUAGGCUUCACACGUCAUACAAUGGUCGGGACACAGAGGGUCGCCAACCCGCGAGGGGGAGCCAAUCCCAGAAACCCGAUCGGUCCGAUCGCAGUUCGCAACUCGACUGCGUGAAGUCGGAAUCGCUAGUAAUCGCGGAUCAGUAUGGCUGUCGCGGUGAAUACGUUCCCGGGUCCUGCAUGCACCGCCCGUCACACUCAUGAGUGGGUUUUACCAGAAGUAGUUAGCCUAACCGUAAGGAGGGCGAUUACCAUUUGGUAGAUUCAUGACUGGUGAAGUCGUAACAAGGUAG
This 1464-nucleotide ribosomal RNA is filed under the name uncultured Bordetella sp. RNAcentral's name for it is "partial 16S-23S ribosomal RNA intergenic spacer". It matches the Rfam family "Bacterial small subunit ribosomal RNA". Lineage: Bacteria; Pseudomonadati; Pseudomonadota; Betaproteobacteria; Burkholderiales; Alcaligenaceae. The record is from RNAcentral.